GAGUAGUACGUUCGCAAGAAUGAAACUCAAAGGAAUUGGACGGGGGGCCCGCACAAGCGGUGGAGCAUGUGGUUUAAUUCGAAGCAACGCGAAGAACCUUACCAGGUCUUGACAUACUCAUAAAGGCUCCAGAGAUGGAGAGAUAGCUAUAUGAGAUACAGGUGGUGCAUGGUUGUCGUCAGCUCGUGUCGUGAGAUGUUGGGUUAAGUCCCGCAACGAGCGCAACCCUUAUCGUUAGUUACCAUCAUUAAGUUGGGGACUCUAGCGAGACUGCCAGUGACAAGCUGGAGGAAGGCGGGGAUGACGUCAAAUCAUCAUGCCCCUUAUGACCUGGGCUACACACGUGCUACAAUGGAUGGUGCAGAGGGAAGCGAAGCCGCGAGGUGAAGCAAAACCCAUAAAACCAUUCUCAGUUCGGAUUGUAGUCUGCAACUCGACUACAUGAAGUUGGAAUCGCUAGUAAUCGCGAAUCAGCAUGUCGCGGUGAAUACGUUCUCGGGCCUUGUACACACCGCCCGUCACACCACGAGAGUUGAUAACACCCGAAGCCGGUGGCCUAACCGCAAGGAAGGAGCUGUCUAAGGUGGGAUUGAUGAUUGGGGUGAAGU
RNAcentral lists this ribosomal RNA (608 nucleotides) under uncultured bacterium. Its description in RNAcentral is "bacterial SSU rRNA". It matches the Rfam family "Bacterial small subunit ribosomal RNA", at positions 875 to 1486 of the family's 1533-position model. The record is from RNAcentral.